Molecule: ribosomal RNA, 1366 nt
Filed under: uncultured beta proteobacterium
Lineage: Bacteria; Pseudomonadati; Pseudomonadota; Betaproteobacteria
Description: 16S ribosomal RNA
Rfam family: Bacterial small subunit ribosomal RNA
Source: RNAcentral
UGAACGCUGGCGGCAUGCCUUACACAUGCAAGUCGAACGGCAGCACGGGUGCUUGCACCUGGUGGCGAGUGGCGAACGGGUGAGUAAUACAUCGGAACAUGUCCUGUAGUGGGGGAUAGCCCGGCGAAAGCCGGAUUAAUACCGCAUACGAUCUACGGAUGAAAGCGGGGGACCUUCGGGCCUCGCGCUAUAGGGUUGGCCGAUGGCUGAUUAGCUAGUUGGUGGGGUAAAGGCCUACCAAGGCGACGAUCAGUAGCUGGUCUGAGAGGACGACCAGCCACACUGGGACUGAGACACGGCCCAGACUCCUACGGGAGGCAGCAGUGGGGAAUUUUGGACAAUGGGCGAAAGCCUGAUCCAGCAAUGCCGCGUGUGUGAAGAAGGCCUUCGGGUUGUAAAGCACUUUUGUCCGGAAAGAAAUCCUUGGCUCUAAUACAGUCGGGGGAUGACGGUACCGGAAGAAUAAGCACCGGCUAACUACGUGCCAGCAGCCGCGGUAAUACGUAGGGUGCGAGCGUUAAUCGGAAUUACUGGGCGUAAAGCGUGCGCAGGCGGUUUGCUAAGACCGAUGUGAAAUCCCCGGGCUCAACCUGGGAACUGCAUUGGUGACUGGCAGGCUAGAGUAUGGCAGAGGGGGGGUAGAAUUCCACGUGUAGCAGUGAAAUGCGUAGAGAUGUGGAGGAAUACCGAUGGCGAAGGCAGCCCCCUGGGCCAAUACUGACGCUCAUGCACGAAAGCGUGGGGAGCAAACAGGAUUAGAUACCCUGGUAGUCCACGCCCUAAACGAUGUCAACUAGUUGUUGGGGAUUCAUUUCCUUAGUAACGUAGCUAACGCGUGAAGUUGACCGCCUGGGGAGUACGGUCGCAAGAUUAAAACUCAAAGGAAUUGACGGGGACCCGCACAAGCGGUGGAUGAUGUGGAUUAAUUCGAUGCAACGCGAAAAACCUUACCUACCCUUGACAUGGUCGGAAUCCCGCUGAGAGGUGGGAGUGCUCGAAAGAGAACCGGCGCACAGGUGCUGCAUGGCUGUCGUCAGCUCGUGUCGUGAGAUGUUGGGUUAAGUCCCGCAACGAGCGCAACCCUUGUCCUUAGUUGCUACGCAAGAGCACUCUAAGGAGACUGCCGGUGACAAACCGGAGGAAGGUGGGGAUGACGUCAAGUCCUCAUGGCCCUUAUGGGUAGGGCUUCACACGUCAUACAAUGGUCGGAACAGAGGGUUGCCAACCCGCGAGGGGGAGCUAAUCCCAGAAAACCGAUCGUAGUCCGGAUUGCACUCUGCAACUCGAGUGCAUGAAGCUGGAAUCGCUAGUAAUCGCGGAUCGGCAUGCCGCGGUGAAUACGUUCCCGGGUCUUGUACACACCGCC